CAAUUCCUGAAAUGUUCGAGGUACUCUGAUAUUUUGAACCUACAACAUUCAUAAGGGAGUUCGAAGUUCUUGAGCGUAUGUCAUGCCUCUUUAAGUGGAAGACAGAGGUUUGAGACAGGACACCCACCUAGAUCUUUCUAGGCGUCAAAAUUCAGAGAACGGCAUUUCGGGAAUAAA
Molecule: non-coding RNA, 177 nt
Filed under: Alkalibacter saccharofermentans DSM 14828
Lineage: Bacteria; Bacillati; Bacillota; Clostridia; Eubacteriales; Eubacteriaceae
Description: 6S / SsrS RNA
Rfam family: 6S / SsrS RNA
About the family: E. coli 6S RNA was the first non coding RNA to be sequenced, but its function was unknown until recently. It consists of 184 nucleotides that fold into an extended hairpin structure with a large single-stranded internal bulge.
Source: Rfam by way of RNAcentral